CAAUAGCGUAUAUUAAAGUUGUUGCAGUUAAAAAGCUCGAAGUUGGAUUUCUGGUUGAAGCGACCGGUCGGGCGUUGAUUCGUCUGCACUGGAGUCGGUUUUGGCCAUCCUCUAGGAAAGUGCGUCUGGUAUUAAGUUAUCGGGCGUAUGAUCCUGGUCUUUUACUGUGAAAAAAUUAGAGUGUUUAAAGCAGGCCUUCGCCUUGAAUACAUUAGCAUGGAAUAAUAAGAUAGGACUUUGGUCUAUUUUGUUGGUUUGCAGACCGAAGUAAUGAUUAAUAGGGAUAGUUGGGGGUAUUUAUAUUCCGAUGUCAGAGGUGAAAUUCUUAGAUUUUCGGAAGAUAAACUUAUGCGAAAGCAUUUACCAAGGAUGUUUUCAUUAA
Molecule: ribosomal RNA, 382 nt
Filed under: uncultured eukaryote
Lineage: Eukaryota
Description: partial 18S ribosomal RNA
Rfam family: Eukaryotic small subunit ribosomal RNA
Source: RNAcentral